This 740-nucleotide ribosomal RNA is filed under the name Acinetobacter junii. RNAcentral's name for it is "bacterial SSU rRNA". It matches the Rfam family "Bacterial small subunit ribosomal RNA", at positions 84 to 818 of the family's 1533-position model. Lineage: Bacteria; Pseudomonadati; Pseudomonadota; Gammaproteobacteria; Moraxellales; Moraxellaceae. The record is from RNAcentral.
CCGUGAUCUUAGCGGCGGAGAGUGAGUCCGAGGAGGAAUCUGCCUAUUAGUGGGGGACAACAUUCCGAAAGGAAUGCUAAUACCGCAUACGUCCUACGGGAGAAAGCAGGGGAUCUUCGGACCUUGCGCUAAUAGAUGAGCCUAAGUCGGAUUAGCUAGUUGGUGGGGUAAAGGCCUACCAAGGCGACGAUCUGUAGCGGGUCUGAGAGGAUGAUCCGCCACACUGGGACUGAGACACGGCCCAGACUCCUACGGGAGGCAGCAGUGGGGAAUAUUGGACAAUGGGGGGAACCCUGAUCCAGCCAUGCCGCGUGUGUGAAGAAGGCCUUAUGGUUGUAAAGCACUUUAAGCGAGGAGGAGGCUACUGAGACUAAUACUCUUGGAUAGUGGACGUUACUCGCAGAAUAAGCACCGGGCUAACUCUGUGCCAGCAGCCGCGGUAAUACAGAGGGGUGCGAGCGUUAAUCGGGAUUUACUGGGCGUAAAGCGUGCGUAGGGCGGCUUUUUAAGUCGGAUGUGAAAUCCCCGAGCUUAACUUGGGAAUUGCAUUCGAUACUGGGAAGCUAGAGUAUGGGAGAGGAUGGUAGAAUUCCAGGUGUAGCGGUGAAAUGCGUAGAGAUCUGGAGGAAUACCGAUGGCGAAAGGCACCAUCUGGCCUAAUACUGACGCUGAGGUACGAAAGCAUGGGGAGCAAACAGGAUUAGAUACCCUGGUAGUCAUGCCGUAAACGAUGUCUACUA